RNAcentral lists this long non-coding RNA (2096 nucleotides) under Bemisia tabaci. Its description in RNAcentral is "lncRNA ENSSSA3NGG000560". Lineage: Eukaryota; Metazoa; Arthropoda; Insecta; Hemiptera; Aleyrodidae. The record is from RNAcentral.
AUCUUCUUUUCCAUCUCCUCUCGACUCAGGUUUUUCAAGUAGGUGUAUGCAGCUAGAAAGAUUUAUCCUCUCUGCUACCACUUAGUUAUAAUAAUGGCUGGAUGCUUAGAGCAGUCAUAGCUCACAAUGAAUAUCUUCUCAGUAUUUUAUGCUGUCCACUCCUACAAGAAUCCUUUCACGGCCAUUCCAGACUUUUCAUGUUUUUUCUGACAAACUGUCUAUUACCUGGACCAGCGUUGCACCACUAUCGUAUAGGAGCUUUUAUGAAUGACCAGAAAAGAAACUUUUGCAUGCGUCAGAGAUUAGGGAUCUUUUCCUUGUGUGAAUUUUUGUGAGAAGGAUGAUGAUGCCACUGAUUUUCUCUGGAAUUAACUUCCGAGCUCAAAAAAAGCUCUCUGAGUUGAGGCCGUAAUGGAGGAGAUUGUGGAUGCCAUGCUGAAAGUCUACCUCUACAUCCAGUCAUACUCUCCAUGCUCAGAUAGGAUGCCAUUUAUCACAGAGUCUUCAAAGCUGCAGCCACAGCAACUCUGCUUCUGUAUUUGUUCCUUAUCUAUGCAUGAAGAGUUUGAUUGGAUGUAGAGGUGGCCUCUCAGCGCAGCGUGGGGGAUUCCCUCCGUCACAGCCUGAAUUUUGAGUGAUUUUUUUCUAGUUUUGGAGUUCAUUUCAGAGAAAACCAGUGGCACCAUAUUUCUUGCUAAAACUCACCAGAGCAUAUGUAUUUCAAUUGCGGAUCUUCGACGCAUGCAAGAGCUUUAAUGGAGCUCUUCAUUACGGUAGGUCAUCUAUUUAGCCAUCUGUGCGCAGAGAAUACAACCAACUACAGAGGUUAACCGUUCACUUCUUUGAACACCGACCAUUAUGGCUGUACCUUGAUUUCAAGAGCGUUCUUAGCUUGCAAGUUCAUCCAGAACAUAAGCAAAAGUACUAUUUUGUUUUUAUCAGGACUCGCAUUUAAACAUUGCAUUAAAUUUUUGUUAAUUUCUUCUCUCAAGAACCUAAUUGCAAAUAUUAUCAGAACAUUUCCGAGAAGACUUAUGAACUCACAGUGUGUCCAGAACCUCAGAAUACUUUUGCAACCCUGCUCCUUUUUUAUAGUUAGAAUAGGUAGGUAGGUACUCUGUAUUGCUUUAUCCCAGCUCAAUACUUGGGAAAAAACAGGUUUCACUUUCUGAAAACAGCCAGUUAUUUAAUUUUCCCAAUAAGUUUUAACAUAUUCAUCAAGUUUUGAACUUUAGCUGCCUGUUCAGUUCUUGCAUUAAACAAUUAUUUAUCCCAAGUUUUGAAGGAGCCUGUAACUGCACUUAUUACUCGUCCUUUUUUUUCAAUUUUCCUCCAAAUAUUCAUUCCACCAGAAAACUAAUUCCUUAGCAAAAAGUGCGUUUCUUAAUGGCAAAUGCUUAUUUUGUGAGUAUUGAUUCAGAUGAAGUUCCGAAAUCGUCUCAUGUUUUGAUUCUCAUUUUUUCCAUGGAAAAUCUGAAAUUUACUUUCUCUGUAGUCUGCAAGCUGCUGUUACUGUAUAUGAAUAUUUUUCUUUCUUUUUCUCUUGUAUGAAAGUUUACAAUUUAACCAUACACAUUUAUAAAUAAACCGAUUUAUUUUGUAUGAACGCUUUUCUGUUUUCAAUGUUCCAUGUAAUUCACUGUUAGUUAUAGUCUCUGCAAAUCCGAGAAUUGCGCUGCAGUAAAGCCCCCAACAAGGAAAGGAACCUCGGCUCCAGAAAGCUAAAUUUUUAAAGGAACAUUUUUUGUCCCUCGAAAAUUCGAAUUUUAUAUCCCCGAGAAAACUGUUUCAGAGGGCCCUGUGAAAAAGUUACAAGCCUUAAAAUUAAUUUUUGUGUCUAUAGAUGGUGAAAGGUGUUAAGGUUGGUGAGAACCGAUGAAAGGAAGAACGACACGAGUUAGGUGGACGCCAUGACAGAAGUAUAUUCAAGGGGCCGCUUCCACAGAGCCUGGGCGGCAAGGCGCACAUAGUUGCCAUAUUGGCAUGCUACUAACAUCCCCUUUUUUUCUUUUUGAAAAAAAAUAUAUCAUACUUAUGUAUAUAAUAACAUGCAGUCUUACAAGUUUCUAAUUAUUUUAAAUAUAAUGUAAUUUUUC